AAUUGGUCGCAGGUUCGAAUCCUGCACGACCCACCAAUUUAACAUCAAACUCAGAUGUUGAACGUGAAGGAUAACGUUGCGUCAGCAACGGCCCGUAGGGCGAGGCGAAGCCGAGUCAUCCUGCACGACCCACCA
This 135-nucleotide small RNA is filed under the name Salmonella enterica. Its description in RNAcentral is "partial RtT sRNA". It matches the Rfam family "RtT RNA", at positions 30 to 130 of the family's 130-position model. Rfam says of the family: This family represents a bacterial cis-regulatory element known as RtT RNA. The exact function of RtT is unknown although it is thought that it may be involved in changing the cellular response in relation to amino acid starvation. Lineage: Bacteria; Pseudomonadati; Pseudomonadota; Gammaproteobacteria; Enterobacterales; Enterobacteriaceae. RNAcentral also lists the same sequence under 3 other names. The record is from RNAcentral.